RNAcentral lists this ribosomal RNA (507 nucleotides) under uncultured bacterium. RNAcentral describes it as "bacterial SSU rRNA". It matches the Rfam family "Bacterial small subunit ribosomal RNA", at positions 21 to 518 of the family's 1533-position model. The record is from RNAcentral.
GGCUCAGGAUGAACGCUAGCUACAGGCUUAACACAUGCAAGUCGAGGGGCAGCAUUGGGAUAGCUUGCUAUUCAGAUGGCGACCGGCGCACGGGUGAGUAACGCGUAUCCAACCUUCCUAGCCAGUAGGGAACAGCCCGGCGAAAGUCGGAUUAAUGCCCUAUGUUCUUCAAUGCGGACAUCUAAGUUGAAGGAAAGAUUCAUCGCUGGCAGAUGGGGAUGCGUCCGAUUAGCUUGCCGGCGGGGUAACGGCCCACCGGGGCGACGAUCGGUAGGGUUCUGAGAGGAAGGUCCCCCACACUGGUACUGAGACACGGACCAGACUCCUACGGGAGGCAGCAGUGAGGAAUAUUGGUCAAUGGGCGUAAGCCUGAACCAGCCAAGUAGCGUGCAGGACGACGGCCCUACGGGUUGUAAACUGCUUUUAUGCGGGGAUAAAGUGCGGCACGUGUGCCGCUUUGCAGGUACCGCAUGAAUAAGGACCGGCUAAUUCCGUGCCAGCCGCCGC